UACGUAGGGCGCAAGCGUUGUCCGGAAUUAUUGGGCGUAAAGAGCGCGUAGGCGGUCCGGUAAGUCGGUUGUGAAAGUCGGGGGCUCAACCCUCGGAUGCCGAUCGAUACUGUCGGGCUAGAGUCCGGAAGAGGCGAGUGGAAUUCCUGGUGUAGCGGUGAAAUGCGCAGAUAUCAGGAGGAAUACCGAUGGCGAAGGCAGGUCUCUGGGCUAUAACUGACGCUCAUGCACGAAAGCGUGGGGAGCAAACAGG
Molecule: ribosomal RNA, 253 nt
Filed under: uncultured bacterium
Lineage: Bacteria
Description: partial 16S ribosomal RNA
Rfam family: Bacterial small subunit ribosomal RNA
Source: RNAcentral